UACGGACGGGAUAAGCGCUGAAAGCAUCUAAGCGUGAAGCCCCCCUCAAGAUGAGAUUUCCCAAUUAGUAAGACCCCUUGAAGACGACGAGGUUGAUAGGUUCGGGGUGGAAGCACAGCAAUGUGUGGAGCUGACGAAUACUAAUCGGUCGAGGGCUUAUCCUAC
This 165-nucleotide ribosomal RNA is filed under the name Paenibacillus sp. 1011MAR3C5. RNAcentral's name for it is "partial 23S ribosomal RNA". It matches the Rfam family "Bacterial large subunit ribosomal RNA", at positions 2754 to 2925 of the family's 2925-position model. The record is from RNAcentral. Lineage: Bacteria; Bacillati; Bacillota; Bacilli; Caryophanales; Paenibacillaceae.